CUCGAGUUUUACAAACUCCCAAACCCCAUGUGAAACGUUACCAUAACUGUUUGCCUUCGGCGGGAUCUACUGCCCCGGGUGCGUCCCCCGUGCCCCGGAACCAGGGCGCCCCGCCGGAGGACCAAUCCAAAACUCUUUUAUACCCCUCCGGUUUUUUAUCUAGCUGAGGCCAUCUCGUCUGCCCUCGUGGGCGUUUUAACGAAAAAUGAAUCAA
RNAcentral lists this unclassified non-coding RNA (214 nucleotides) under soil metagenome. Its description in RNAcentral is "partial internal transcribed spacer 1". The record is from RNAcentral.